Molecule: microRNA, 21 nt
Filed under: Marchantia polymorpha subsp. ruderalis
Lineage: Eukaryota; Viridiplantae; Streptophyta; Marchantiopsida; Marchantiales; Marchantiaceae
Source: RNAcentral
CCAUGAAAUCAAUCUCGUCGU